RNAcentral lists this ribosomal RNA (470 nucleotides) under uncultured bacterium. RNAcentral's name for it is "partial 16S ribosomal RNA". It matches the Rfam family "Bacterial small subunit ribosomal RNA", at positions 28 to 507 of the family's 1533-position model. The record is from RNAcentral.
GACGAACGCUGGCGGCGUGCUUAACACAUGCAAGUCGAACGGGGAACGAGGGAGCUUGCUCCCUCCGGAUCAGUGGCGAACGGGUGAGUAACACGUGAGCAAUCUGCCUCGAACUCUGGGAUAAUCGUUGGAAACGACGUCUAAUACCGAAUACGACGCGGGAGGGCAUUCUCUCCGCGUGGAAAUAACUUCGUGUCGGGAUGAGCUCGCGGCCUAUCAGCUUUUUGUUGAGGUAACGGCUCACCAAGGCGACGACGGGUAGCCGGCCUGAGGGGGGGACCGGCCACACUGGGACUGAGACACGGCCCAGCCUCCUACGGGAGGCAGCAGUGGGGAAUAUUGCACAAUGGGCGGAAGCCUGAUGCAGCAACGCCGCGUGAGGGACGACGGCCUUCGGGUUGUAAACCUCUUUUAGCAGGGAAGAAGCGAAAGUGACGGUACCUGCAGAAAAAGCACCGGCUAACUACGUG